RNAcentral lists this long non-coding RNA (613 nucleotides) under Mus spicilegus (steppe mouse). Its description in RNAcentral is "lncRNA (ENSMSIG00000012667.1)". Lineage: Eukaryota; Metazoa; Chordata; Mammalia; Rodentia; Muridae. The record is from RNAcentral.
UAUGCAUGCCGUGGCACACACUGGCCGACACAUAAAUAAUAAUAAAUAUAUUUUUUAAAGUAUGGGGGAGGAUGUUCAUUGUGAACAGCCUCCUGGCCAAGGACACAUGUCCCUCUCUGUGGCUUGGCUGCCCAAAGGAGACCUCUUAGGAUGACAACUCAGACUUUCAGUGACAAGACACUGCAACAAUAUUGAAGCUCCGAAGGCUCCGGGAAUUGAGUGCAUCAGGGAGCUGUCCCUUGGGGGAGUUCACUUCUGACCAAGUCCAGACUCCCAAUGUCACAGGAAUCUUAGAGCCGAAGGAGAAGAUAAGCAAGGAGCAUUGGUUAGACCAGUCAGUACCAGAGUGCUUGUCCCAGGAAACCGUGGAUGGAGUCAGGAGAGGCAGAGCACAGGCAGGCUGUCAGCAGAGGAUCCGCUGUCUCUCAUCAAUAAUGAAGUGCUCCCAGGCCCUCAACUGAAGCCUCCUGCAUAAUUCACCUCGAAAACCUCAAACAAAGGAGCCCAGGGCCCAGUCUCCUACCCCGUGUCCUUCCCAAAUAUCCAAGGAGAGGGGAGGGGUGGGGCAGGGCGGGGAGGGGAGGGCAGGGGACAUAAAAGCUGAUUGAUGGGC